UGCUCCUACGGGAGGCAGCAGUAGGGAAUUUUCGGCAAUGGGGGGAACCCUGACCGAGCAACGCCGCGUGAACGAAGAAGUUAUUCGUAAUGUAAAGUUCUUUUAUCAGGGAAGAAAGAGGAAUUUGACGGUACCUGACUAAGAAGCCCCGGCUAACUACGUGCCAGCAGCCGCGGUAAUACGUAGGUGGCAAGCGUUAUCCGGAAUUACUGGGUGUAAAGGGUGUGUAGGCGGGGCUGCAAGUCAGAUGUGAAAAUUAUGGGCUCAACCCAUAACCUGCGUCUGAAACUGUAGCUCUUGAGAGG
Molecule: ribosomal RNA, 305 nt
Filed under: uncultured bacterium
Lineage: Bacteria
Description: bacterial SSU rRNA
Rfam family: Bacterial small subunit ribosomal RNA
Source: RNAcentral